This 2525-nucleotide long non-coding RNA is filed under the name Malus domestica (apple). RNAcentral describes it as "long non-coding RNA (MDOM_LNC016436)". The record is from RNAcentral. Lineage: Eukaryota; Viridiplantae; Streptophyta; Magnoliopsida; Rosales; Rosaceae.
UGAAUAUAUCACUGCCAGCUCAUCAAAACAGUUGUAAAGGAUUGGAUGAUGUAAUAGUUAGUUGAAAGAGUUAGUUCUCUAGUCAGCUAUAUAUAGUUAUUGUAAACAAAUAGUAAAGUUAGUUCAUUGAGUUUAAUACAAAAGCUUCAUUCAUUUCGUUCUCACAUUUCUCUUCUCUCUGUAAACCUUCAUUUCUUGAUUUCAUAAUUGUUCAUCUCUGAUACUUCUUCAAUGUAGUUAACAUGGUAUCAGAGCCACCAGGCUUACGCUGUGGAUUCUGGUGGUUCCAUUUCUUAGUAGUUUGCAUUUUUUUUCCUUCUCUAGUUAAGUUUCUCCUUAAAUUUUCAUUAGAUUUUCCAAGCUUCCGCGAUUGUUCUUGGGUUGAUUUUUCUGGGAUAUGAAUUGAGAUUUUACAUCUCGAUGAAUCUGACACAUGCGUCGGCUUCAAGCGAACAAUCAAAGAUUUCGAAGAAACCCAAACUCUCCCGCAACGCUUUGAUUCUCCGACUGCAAUUCGAGAACAAGAUAGCCACUCGUCUGAAACAAGACACAUACUUCAUCGAAAAGAGCUCUCUUUGUUUGGUCUCCGAGUCCUCCAAGAAGGUGAAGAGUUCACCUCAUGGCCAAGUCUCUGAGACCAAUCUUGAAGAACUUCAAGAAUUUUCCAAUUCUGCGAAUGAAAAGCUCGUAUCUUUGGAUUUAAUUUAUGGGUUUCCUGCAUUUGAUGGAGUAGCCCAAGAUUUCAUGGGAAAUUGCAAGGUGGGUCUUGUUUCUGAUGGUGAAUUCGUGACAACUAAGACUACAAGGACUCUGGAUGAUGAAAAGAAGGGUUAAGGCGAAGUGGGUUUCUCUGGGAUUCAAAACUCAAUGCUUUUGGAGUUUGCAGACCACCACCAACGAAUACUUCAUCUCAAUGUAGUCAAGUACAUUCUCAUACAAACCCAAAAGCCAAGAUUGUUCUUUCUCUGCGUAUGCUUUUUUUUUUAUUUACACUCUGUUUUCGCUUUUUAUGAUAUUUUAGUGGAACUGGUUGUGAAACAAUUUGGGUAUUGCAAAUUUUUUGGUGAUUGUUUGUUCAAGAUUGCAAAUCUUGGGAGCUCUUCAGGUUAUGAUUAUGUGCACUCCAACUAUUUGAAGGAAUGAGUCAGUGAAUUCUUUGAUCUCUACUCUGUUCUCUGGUAUGGAAGAAAGAUCAUACAUGGGUGCAAUCGAGAUGUUUGUCGAAAUGCCCAACUCAAAAGUAUCAUGUGAAGGUUAUGUUUUCAGUCAUUUUCUCCAAAUUCUUGAACAAUUAGAAUGAAUCUUUUCUGGGUUUUUGGUGGUUGUUAACGGUUUCGUGAGCAGCUGGUAUGCCUAUCUCGACAUCAGGUUCAUCAUUUUCACAAACCAUCUUGAAAAAUUCUUGUUUCUUUGAUAGGGUUUCUUGUAUGUCAGUUUAUCUGUUAAAGCCGAUAGCCAUUUUCUGCGAGCUUGUUGAAGGAAUACAAAGGCCGAUAGCCAUUCCUUUUUUGUUGCGUGAUUAGUUCUUGGUUGUUUGCGAUUUGUGCACUCGAAAAAGGCCGAUUGUCAAGAGUGUGUUGAAUGCAAUUUGUUUCCUCCAUAAGGCCGAUAGCAAGAGUGAAAAGUUCUGUCUCAGAUAUUGUGUGUUACUUCUUAAAGGCCGAUAACCGGAGUAACGUUCUUGAAAAGUUUUGUUUGUUCUUAUUGUGUGCAACUCCAUUAAGGCUGAUUGCCGGAGUGCAAUUCUUGUUCCCUUUUCUUCAUUGAAGGCCGAUUGCCGAAGAGGGUUGUGUUUCUUAAUUUCUGUGAUUGUAAAGCUUGUUGACUGUGAAAUAUUGGAAACCUUAUCGCAAAAGCUACAAUGGUGUAGAAAUCAGUUUGAGAGGCUGAAAUUCUUUGGGAAGUUGGUUGAUAAGUAUGAAAUGACACUUUUAAACACCAAGAACAGAGGAUUCAUUGCUGAUAGGAGCAGGGCUAGGAGUACAUCGACAAGAAGGAUUUCAUUGUUCUGCAUUUCUCAAGAGAAUCCAAUCUUAAAGCGUUGUGGAAUUGGGAGGAAAUUUGUUGCAAGCUUUGAUCAAGUUGGGAUGAGACCAAAUAACUUCUACUAUCAAUUGACUUGAGAACAUGUGCUUCCCUGGUGGAUGAUGACAAGACAGAAUCAGGCGGUGCCCCUUGGUUAAUUUGGACAUCUAAAUAGUCUUGAUGAAGAGAUUGCCCAUUUCUCAAGCACUCAUACAAUCUCAAACUGGGAAUCCCAAUUGAGAUUGAGGGGGGAUGUUGAAUAUAUCACUGCUAGCUCAUCAAAACAGUUGUAAAGGAUUGGAUGAUGUAAUAGUUAGUUGAAAGAGUUAGUUCUCUAGUCAGCUAUAUAUAGCUAUUGUAAACAAAUAGUAAAGUUAGUUAAUUAAGUUUAAUACAAAAGCUUCAUUCAUUUCGAUCUCACAUUUCUCUUCUCUCUGUAAACCUUCAUUUCUUGAUUUCAUAAUUGUUCAUCUCUGCUACUUCUUCAAUGUAGUUAACAG